UGGGGAAUAUUGCACAAUGGGCGCAAGCCUGAUGCAGCGACGCCGCGUGAGGGAUGACGGCCUUCGGGUUGUAAACCUCUGUUAGCAUCGAAGAAGCGAAAGUGACGGUAGGUGCAGAGAAAGCGCCGGCUAACUACGUGCCAGCAGCCGCGGUAAUACGUAGGGCGCGAGCGUUGUCCGGAAUUAUUGGGCGUAAAGAGCUUGUAGGCGGUUGGUCGCGUCUGCUGUGAAAGGCUGGGGCUUAACCCUGGUUUUGCAGUGGGUACGGGCUAACUAAAGUGCAGUAGGGGAGACUGGAAUUCCUGGUGUAGCGGUGGAAUGCGCAGAUAUCAGGAGGAACACCGAUGGCGAAGGCAGGUCUCUGGGCUGUAACUGACGCUGAGAAGCGAAAGCAUGGGGAGCGAACAGGAUUAGAUACCCUGGUAGUCCAUGCCGUAAACGUUGGGCACUAGGUGUGGGGGACAUUCCACGUUUUCCGCGCCGUAGCUAACGCAUUAAGUGCCCCGCCUGGGGAGUACGGCCGCAAGGCUA
Molecule: ribosomal RNA, 531 nt
Filed under: uncultured bacterium
Lineage: Bacteria
Description: bacterial SSU rRNA
Rfam family: Bacterial small subunit ribosomal RNA
Source: RNAcentral